GCCGCUCCAGCACGGGGUAGCGGAGGACCUGAGCGCCUCGCUGGCCGCCCCCCGACACGGGCCAGACAGGCACCCCCGCGACGAGCUGCCUCUCGCGGCAGCCGGGAUCCACGUGGUGUCCGCCCGCGCCCCGCCCCCCGGACCACCGCCGCGUGUCGCUGCGGUGCUGUGACUCUGUGAGGUCGCCAAGAAGGUGACUUUGGUGAUCGCAGCUGCGGUGCCUGUUCGGCGGCGCCCUCUCGUCCUCGCAGCGCUCGCGGCCCUCCCCUCCCCCCGGCCCGGCGGCGCGCAGGGCCAGGUGCGGGCGGGGGUCGCGGCUCGGACGCCUCGCCGACCUCCUUCUGUCCAUACAGCGCGUGCUCGGCGCUCGCUCGGUGCUCGCUCGGCGCUCGGUGCUCGCUCGGCGCUCGCUUGGCGCUCGCUCGGUGCCCAUUCGACACUCGCCCGGUGCUCGUUCGACGCUCGCUCGGUGCUCGCACCGCGGGCCAUGAGGCGCGAGGGCCAUGGCGCUGCUCGAGUCCUGCUGCUGCUGGCGGUCCGUGCGGAAGGGCAGCUAUGCGAGCGCCAUCUACACCAUGGAACGGAAGCAUGACUUCAUCUUAACCAACGAGAUCUUCGUCGAAACACAAGUGAAUCAGGCAAACAUCGU
Long non-coding RNA from Frankliniella occidentalis (western flower thrips), 649 nucleotides. RefSeq lists it as uncharacterized. The record is from RefSeq and is a predicted model, not a curated record. The transcript has 3 exons. NCBI's taxonomy places the organism in Eukaryota, Metazoa, Arthropoda, Insecta, Thysanoptera, Thripidae.